Nothobranchius furzeri (turquoise killifish) is the source of this 3533-nucleotide non-coding RNA. NCBI's taxonomy places the organism in Eukaryota, Metazoa, Chordata, Actinopteri, Cyprinodontiformes, Nothobranchiidae. The record is from RefSeq and is a predicted model, not a curated record.
ACCUUGCCGCCAUGCCUCUUGUGAACACAAGUCAUUUUUGUGUACAAUUUAUUUAUUUUUGGUUUUAGAUGCCUACCUACAUUUUACCAUUUAUUUUGUUUUAAUAGGUUACAAAGUUAAUUAAAAGUAGUUUGAGAAGCUAUCAUCUUGUCUUUAUUAUUCGACUGAUUAGAUUUAUAUACAGUUGAAAACAAUUGAAAAUAGAAGCUAAAGAUAGGUAUAUUAGAGCAUCUUGGUGCAAUAAGCUAAACUUUUAUGAAUGACACGAUUAGUUGACUAAUCAAUCGUCAAUAAAACUGGCGAUUAAUUGACCCCCCUCCCCCCGAAAACAAACUCUUUGGAUCUAUAUGUUUCAUGUGGAUGCCAUAUUUACCAUACCAUACCGUUUUAUUUAUACCCAAGCCCCCAUAAUUUGGGUCUGAAAAUGAAGCCAAUACGGAAUGAGAAAAAUUGCAGUUCCACCUAGGGCUGGGCGAUAUGACGAUUUUAGACCGUUUUACGAUCUACACAUCUGACGGUCUGUCAUUUUUGAGAGACCUUUUUAUCACGAUUCACAGCUCUGCUGUUGAAUUUCUGCCUUUGAAUGAAAAGGGAACUUACCUCAGGCAAAUGACAUGCCUUUGUUUGACCCUUAACCAAUCAGAGUGAGUCAUAGUAAUAUAUUAGUGCCCCGCUUGUUUUCACCUGUGUGUGAACAAGCAUGGCUUCGGCUGCGGCUGAGAGCGACAACGAGGUUUUCGUUCCGAAGAGGAACGCAGGGUUUCCUUAGUGCGCAGCGCUAACAACUUAGCGACGUGACAUGUCUCGGAGAAAGCGUAAAAACAUGUUGGACGCUUCUUCUGAAGCAGGAAAAUAACACUGCUUCUUAAGCAGAGCACGACGUCGCCUCGGCUCGUUCACCCUCUGCUGAGCCGGACUGAGCUCGGUCACUGGGUCGUUGGAGCUGCCCCGUGACUGCCUGAUGGAAAACCAGCGGGUUUCAUCAGACUCGUAAAGUUUCUUGUUUUUGCUGGGGACCCCCUGCAUUUUACCGCUCCCUCCUGCAGUCUUCCCCUAUUACAAUUUAAAAUGAUUCUGUAAAUUCCGUGUAUCAAUAGAAACAAUCUCUGCCUCUGCCAGCUGCAGUAAAUGUAGUUUCCAAAUAAUAAAUCUCCAAAUAAUUCAUCUGUGUAUCUCCUUUCAUCCGCAUUAGUGAUAUUCUCAGCACCAGAACAGUGAAGCAAAGAAAGAUUCCUGAGUUUGUUAGUAAUUUUAUUUAUUAGGUGCAUCUAACCUGUUCUAUUUUUCUCUGAAAUGAGAUCAAAUCAGUGCUUCUAUGGGUUGUCUCCAAUCUGCACUGGAAAUUUUUACUUUAUUUAGAGACUUGUUGCAGAAAAUAUUCAGAAUGCGCAGUUUUUUGCUACCACAAGCGAUCUCUGGUCCAGCCGCACAUCAGAGCCGUAUUUGAGCUUAACUAUCCACUACAUGAGCAACUGGGAGCUACAUAGUAUUUUGAACAAGUUAAUGUUUGCACAAUACGUUUGCAAUUGACAUGUUUGCACUUUAAAUAUGUUUACGAUUUUAAUUUAUGUUAAGUUACUUGAAAAACGAGAAAAACUGAUUUUUGUAAUUGUUUCUCUCAGGGCUUUUAUCAUCUCUGGUGUUAGUUUAAAAUAUAAGUGUGUUAGCACUGUGCUGAUUAUCCCUAAUAUGAAUAAAUGUUUAUUUAUUCAAUGUUUCUCUUCUUUAAUACGCAAUAGAAGUUAUGCUAUUCAUGGAUAAAAAAUCGUGAUAAAAUCGAAAUCGUGAUAAAAUAUUUGAAAAAUCGUGAUAUUCUAUUUUUGCCAUAUCGCCCAGCCCUAGUUCCACCCUCAUCCGCAUGGGGCUGGUGUCAGAAGCGAGCAAAUCCUCAUUGACUCCCAUGUUAAAAAUACCAAUUUCACAGCAGAAAUAAACAUGUUUAUAGCCUGGUUCCAAAACAUGUUUUAGGUUUAAUUGAUCUAGUUUAUACUCAUGACAACUCUGAGGGGGGUGAAUCUUCUGUCACUCUUCUGUUUAAGUGUAUUAAAUGCCUAAAAUUCUGUAUAAUUAAUCCGUGGAAAGGCCUCAGUAGCUCGGUCUGAGCCUCAGUCUAGCCUGAAAACUGUUCUGCGAUUUUUAGUCUCUGAACUUAGACCAGUAGUUGUAACGUUUGUGUAUUCUUUUUUGGAUAUUAUCUGUGCAAAUGUUGGACAAAAUGACUGGCUGUGGUAUUAAUUGCACUAAUAGAGCGUCCAAGGAGUCUCCACUUCAUUUUUUUCGGUAAGUAAAAUUAUAUUCAUGUAUUUUAGGUCACUGCCGCUUUUGCAUUAGCUGAGCUUAUCAAAGUAGCUAGCUAACUACCAUUUUAACAUGUACUGUUUAACCAUGAAAUUUAGAUGUAAUACGGUAAAAUAAUUAAUAGGGUCUAUGUCGAUGGGUAAAACCAUGGUAAAACCCAGUGCAUUUAACAUAAAAAUGGGUUGAAAUAUGACGGAGCUCUCUGAGGGAGACUUCUGUGUUCCAUUCUUCCACUUAGUUCUCCCCAGCGGUCAGCCCGGCGCAUCUCUGACCGCUUCGGCGCCUGUCUGCUGCGCGGACUGACCGCUUGUGGAGCUCUCGGACUCUGAGAGAGACCUGACCACAGAAAUACUAAAGCUCGGAGAGUUGGUUGAUAGUGCUUGAUGUUAGUCUCCAGAAGUCUGUUUGCCAUCAGAUAAACUCACUAGUUUUUUUUUUUUUUUUGCAUAUUUGUAAAAUAGUGGUGGUGGGGAGCGACUAAAUAACUAAUUUGUCCACAAAGAGCCGCGACCGGGUGCCCUGUUCUCAUGGGAACUAGUGCAGUUUAAUUAAAUGGAAAUUAGUUAAUAAAAUUGAUUAUUAAAAGGUUCAUAUCCUCUCCAAUAAGGUGAUAGACUCAAGUGUUUGGUUUUAUAUUGUUUUUUAUAAAGUAUGCAUUUUGUAUUACUCUUUAUCCUAAUUUUAGACUUUUUACUACAGGCCAUGAUAAGCUAUUAAGUAUUUUAAACCCAUAUGCUUAAGUAGUUCUUUGUAUGAAGUUUUCCUCUAGGUCAUCCAGAGAGGCUUGACCUUUGGGUAAGCAACCAAAGAAGAGAGUGCUGGACUCCCAAUUCACACUCCCGCUUGUGCAGUGAACACUUUGAGAGUCAUCACUUCACCACGGACUCCAGGGAGCCGUCAGCAGCACGUUACUGCAGCAGCACGUCUUGCUCACGUAAACUGCUGCUUGGCCCUUCCCACGAGACGCGAAGCAGCAGGGGAGCAGCUGUCACCGACUGAGCACGAAGUCACACGAGUGACUUCGUCAGUAAACACAACAACAAGCAGGAGAAAACUACAACAUGGCUCCAAAAGGAGAGACUUUGCCUGAAGAGCACAGCUGUACCUACAAUCUUCUCUUCCUUUAAGGUCAAAAAACAUCUUCCAAGAAGGAAAGUACAGGUAAGUAGGAGUGACAAGGUACGUGACAACCCCAUUGGUUUUGUAAAUAGUUUUGAGAAGGUUGCAGAUGUAGA